AUACGUAGGGUGCGAGCGUUGUCCGGAAUUACUGGGCGUAAAGAGCUCGUAGGUGGUUUGUCGCGUCGUCUGUGAAAUUCCGGGGCUUAACUCCGGGCGUGCAGGCGAUACGGGCAUAACUUGAGUACUGUAGGGGAGACUGGAAUUCCUGGUGUAGCGGUGAAAUGCGCAGAUAUCAGGAGGAACACCGGUGGCGAAGGCGGGUCUCUGGGCAGUAACUGACGCUGAGGAGCGAAAGCAUGGGUAGCGAACAGGAUUAGAUGCCCUGGUAGUCCAUGCCGUAAACGGUGGGCGCUAGGUGUAGGGGUCUUCCACGACUUCUGUGCCGUAGCUAACGCAUUAAGCGCCCCGCCUGGGGAGUACGGCCGCAAGGCUAAAACUCAAAGGAAUUGACGGGG
This 398-nucleotide ribosomal RNA is filed under the name uncultured bacterium. RNAcentral's name for it is "partial 16S ribosomal RNA". It matches the Rfam family "Bacterial small subunit ribosomal RNA", at positions 523 to 918 of the family's 1533-position model. The record is from RNAcentral.